This 245-nucleotide ribosomal RNA is filed under the name uncultured bacterium. RNAcentral's name for it is "partial 16S ribosomal RNA". It matches the Rfam family "Bacterial small subunit ribosomal RNA", at positions 524 to 768 of the family's 1533-position model. The record is from RNAcentral.
UACGGGGGUGGCGAGCGUUACUCGGAUUUACUGGGUGUAAAGGGCAGGUAGGCGGUCGAACAAGUUGUGGGUGAAAUCCCUUGACUCAAUCAAGGAACUGCCUUCAAAACUACUCGACUUGAGGACUGGAGAGGAGAGCGGAAUUCCCGGUGUAAGGGUGAAAUCUGUAGAUAUCGGGAGGAACACCUGUGGCGAAAGCGGCUCUCUAGACAGUCCCUGACGCUGAGCUGCGAAAGCUAGGGGAG